Non-coding RNA from Vicia faba (fava bean), 261 nucleotides. NCBI's taxonomy places the organism in Eukaryota, Viridiplantae, Streptophyta, Magnoliopsida, Fabales, Fabaceae. The record is from the annotation of a GenBank genome assembly.
AUGUAUAGUUCUAUAACUGAUGUUCUUAAAAUGUUGAAAGAAGAUGUAUCCGCUAAAGAUGCAAGAGGGGAAGCAAAUGUUCUUGUGAUUCUAAUGAAUAUUUUUGAUUUUUCACUCACAUUGCAUUUGAUGAAAAAUAUUUUAGGUAUUUCAAAUGAAUUAUCACAAGCAUUGCAAACGAAAAAUCAAGACAUCGUCAAUGCCAUGAGCUUGGUUAACAUCACAAAGAAACGAUUACAAACGUUAAGAGAUGAUGGAUGA